RNAcentral lists this ribosomal RNA (253 nucleotides) under uncultured bacterium. RNAcentral's name for it is "partial 16S ribosomal RNA". It matches the Rfam family "Bacterial small subunit ribosomal RNA", at positions 524 to 776 of the family's 1533-position model. The record is from RNAcentral.
UACGUAGGGUGCAAGCGUUGUCCGGAAUUAUUGGGCGUAAAGAGCUCGUAGGCGGUUUGUUGAGUCUGCUGUGAAAACUCGGGGCUUAACUCCGGGCCUGCAGUGGGUACGGGCAGACUAGAGUGCGGUAGGGGAGACUGGAAUUCCUGGUGUAGCGGUGAAAUGCGCAGAUAUCAGGAGGAACACCGGUGGCGAAGGCGGGUCUCUGGGCCGUAACUGACGCUGAGGAGCGAAAGCGUGGGGAGCGAACAGG